GACGAACGCUGGCGGCGUGCUUAACACAUGCAAGUCGAACGGAAAGGCCCUGCUUUUGUGGGGUGCUCGAGUGGCGAACGGGUGAGUAACACGUGAGUAACCUGCCCUUGACUUUGGGAUAACUUCAGGAAACUGGGGCUAAUACCGGAUAGGAGCCCCUGCUGCAUGGUGGGGGGUGGACAGUUUCGGCGGUUGGGGAUGGACUCGCGGCUCAUCAGCUUGUUGGUGGGGUAGUGGCUUACCAAGGCUUUGACGGGUAGCCGGCCUGAGAGGGUGACCGGCCACAUUGGGACUGAGAUACGGCACAGACUCCUACGGGAGGCAGCAGUGGGGAAUAUUGCACAAUGGGCGGAAGCCUGAUGCAGCAACGCCGCGUGCGGGAUGACGGCCUUCGGGUUGUAAACCGCUUUCGCCUGUGACGAAGCGUGAGUGACGGUAAUGGGUAAAGAAGCACCGGCUAACUACGUG
Molecule: ribosomal RNA, 468 nt
Filed under: uncultured bacterium
Lineage: Bacteria
Description: partial 16S ribosomal RNA
Rfam family: Bacterial small subunit ribosomal RNA
Source: RNAcentral